This 83-nucleotide transfer RNA is filed under the name Schistocephalus solidus. It matches the Rfam family "tRNA". Rfam says of the family: Transfer RNA (tRNA) molecules are approximately 80 nucleotides in length. Their secondary structure includes four short double-helical elements and three loops (D, anti-codon, and T loops). Lineage: Eukaryota; Metazoa; Platyhelminthes; Cestoda; Diphyllobothriidea; Diphyllobothriidae. The record is from Rfam by way of RNAcentral.
AGCCUUGUGGCUCAUUUGGUUAAAGCGUUGACUGUACUAAAGCGUUUCCCUUGUUGGCGUGGGUUCGAAUCUCACCAAGGCCG